ACAGCAGUAGCCGCGGUAAAACAGAGGGUGCGAGCGUUAAUCGGAUUUACUGGGCGUAAAGCGUGCGUAGGCGGCUUUUUAAGUCGGAUGUGAAAUCCCUGAGCUUAACUUAGGAAUUGCAUUCGAUACUGGGAAGCUAGAGUAUGGGAGAGGAUGGUAGAAUUCCAGGUGUAGCGGUGAAAUGCGUAGAGAUCUGGAGGAAUACCGAUGGCGAAGGCAGCCAUCUGGCCUAAUACUGACGCUGAGGUACGAAAGCAUGGGGAGCAAACAGGAUUAGAUACCCCCGUAGUCCCUGUCUCUUAUAA
This 305-nucleotide ribosomal RNA is filed under the name uncultured bacterium. RNAcentral describes it as "partial 16S ribosomal RNA". It matches the Rfam family "Bacterial small subunit ribosomal RNA", at positions 508 to 809 of the family's 1533-position model. The record is from RNAcentral.